GGUGUUGUGGCUCAGCAGUAGAGUGCUUGCCUAGCACUUAUGAGGUCCUGGGUUCGAUCCUCAGCACCACAU
This is a non-coding RNA of Ictidomys tridecemlineatus (thirteen-lined ground squirrel), 72 nucleotides long. NCBI's taxonomy places the organism in Eukaryota, Metazoa, Chordata, Mammalia, Rodentia, Sciuridae. The record is from Rfam.